RNAcentral lists this long non-coding RNA (230 nucleotides) under Carica papaya (papaya). RNAcentral's name for it is "long non-coding RNA (CPAP_LNC001445)". The record is from RNAcentral. Lineage: Eukaryota; Viridiplantae; Streptophyta; Magnoliopsida; Brassicales; Caricaceae.
AAGAGCACAAAUUUCUCUUUCAAGGUGUCUUCCAUCAACUAAAAUUACAAAGAUUUUUUUAUAAUAGUUAGAUAGAGAGAAAAAGUGAGUCAGAGAAUUAAGGUCAUCUCCAAAGGGUCUCUCAAUCACGCUAUGACUGCAUCAUCUUAGAACGGUAUGUAGCUCUAACUUUCUGUUGUCUUUUUUUUCUUAAGAUAUGUUAAAUUCAAUAAAAAAUGAUUUUCGCAUAA